ACCGGAGAAUGUUAUCACGGGAGACACACGGCGGGUGCUAACGUCCGUCGUGAAGAGGGAAACAACCCAGACCGCCAGCUAAGGUCCCAAAGUCAUGGUUAAGUGGGAAACGAUGUGGGAAGGCCCAGACAGCCAGGAUGUUGGCUUAGAAGCAGCCAUCAUUUAAAGAAAGCGUAAUAGCUCACUGGUCGAGUCGGCCUGCGCGGAAGAUGUAACGGGGCUAAACCAUGCACCGAAGCUGCGGCAGCGAACGUAUCACUUAAAGCGAUUCAGCGGGUUACGAUUGACGGAGCGAAGCGACGUCAAAGCGUAUACAAAGUCGAGUCGGUUUAAGGAUACGUUCGUUGGGUAGGGGAGCGUUCUGUAAGCCUGUGAAGGUGUGUCGUGAGGCAUGCUGGAGGUAUCAGAAGUGCGAAUGCUGACAUAAGUAACGAUAAAGCGGGUGAAAAGCCCGCUCGCCGGAAGACCAAGGGUUCCUGUCCAACGUUAAUCGGGGCAGGGUGAGUCGACCCCUAAGGCGAGGCCGAAAGGCGUAGUCGAUGGGAAACGGGUUAAUAUUCCCGUACUUGGUGUUACUGCGAAGGGGGGACGGAGAAGGCUAUGUUGGCCGGGCGACGGUUGUCCCGGUUUAAGCGUGUAGGUUACUGCGAAGGGGGGACGGAGAAGGCUAUGUUGGCCGGGCGACGGUUGUCCCGGUUUAAGCGUGUAGG
Molecule: ribosomal RNA, 710 nt
Filed under: Salmonella enterica subsp. enterica serovar Infantis
Lineage: Bacteria; Pseudomonadati; Pseudomonadota; Gammaproteobacteria; Enterobacterales; Enterobacteriaceae
Description: partial 23S ribosomal RNA
Rfam family: Bacterial large subunit ribosomal RNA
Source: RNAcentral